This 59-nucleotide transfer RNA is filed under the name Hippopotamus amphibius (hippopotamus). RNAcentral's name for it is "tRNA-Ser (AGY)". The record is from RNAcentral. RNAcentral also lists the same sequence under 1 other name. Lineage: Eukaryota; Metazoa; Chordata; Mammalia; Artiodactyla; Hippopotamidae.
GAGAAAGCAUGCAAGAACUGCUAAUUCAUGCCCCCAUAUCUAACAAUAUGGCUUUCCCA